Molecule: regulatory RNA element, 189 nt
Organism: Danaus plexippus plexippus
Lineage: Eukaryota; Metazoa; Arthropoda; Insecta; Lepidoptera; Nymphalidae
Rfam family: Potassium channel RNA editing signal
About the family: This family represents a group of sequences related to the human potassium channel Kv1.1 hairpin element which directs the efficient modification of an adenosine to inosine by an adenosine deaminase acting on RNA (ADAR). The ADAR modification causes an isoleucine/valine recoding event which lies in the ion-conducting pore of the potassium channel.
Source: Rfam
GUAGGCUAUGGUGACAUGGCUCCGAAAACAUAUGUCGGUAUGUUUGUCGGCGCCCUGUGCGCGUUGGCUGGUGUAAGUUGUUUGAAUUUAAUGAAAAUUAAAUAAUGAUGGUGAUUAUCAAUUAUAAUUUCUGAAUUCUUUACAAAGGUGUUGACGAUAGCUCUGCCGGUGCCGGUCAUCGUCUCUAAC